Ixodes scapularis (black-legged tick) is the source of this 3061-nucleotide long non-coding RNA. RefSeq lists it as uncharacterized. The transcript is spliced from 3 exons. Lineage: Eukaryota; Metazoa; Arthropoda; Arachnida; Ixodida; Ixodidae. The record is from RefSeq and is a predicted model, not a curated record.
CGCCUCUGGUGGCGAAUGAACGCGCGCCAUUUUUAAGUAAAAUCGUCGAAGCUUCACAAGCUGGGAGAAAGCUUCACAGUCGUUGGGAGAGUCACCAGUUUGGACGAUGAAGCCAACGCAGCCAUCAUUGAAGACCACGAAUGCGUGGCGCGCCACAUCAAGCUUCCGCCUCAAAUUUCGAGCUUGGACAUCGUAAAGAACCAAGUCUACAUAUUUUAUGGAGUCAUCACACCGCUCCACGAUGGUAGUCAAGAUGAGUGCCUCGAAGUGACUCGCUUCACUUCUGUCAAGGAUGUGGACCUGCCUCUCUAUGGAUCAUGUGCCAAGGUCCGCCGGCAAAUCGUCAAGGAAAUGGAUGAAGUAGUUGGUAACACGUUGGACGAAAUCCUGAGCCAGCUUGAUCAGGAAUGCCAAGUUUUCGGGGAUUGGAAGGCCGGCGUCCGGCGAUUGGUCGCCAACGAGCAACAGAGUGAUGCGCCGGAGACAUAUCAAAGCCCGGACUGUCCCACACUAGAUCCCGGGAUCUUUGUGUGCGGCAGUGAUCCAGACGACCGCAACGUAAAGAAGAAGGUGUCGUUGGAACGGCUCGCCAUGGACAUCGUCAAAAAAGUUUACGAAGAAGAUUGCGCCCGAGGCCAGGACGAAAAGGUUCACUGCCCAACAAAGCCACCGUAGCCAAGCUGUCGAAAGAAUGUAGCUAUGGUUUUGCCUUUGCACAACAUCAAAUGCUAGCAGAGUGCUUUCCUUGUUAAUGUUAAGUCCCUGAAUGCAAGUUCCCAUCCCUUUUCUUCAGUGCCUUCAACUCUUAAAACAACAAGCAGUGAAACAGAAGUCCGUGCUUCACAGCACCAUCUUGAAAGAAGACAUUUAAAGCUGAAGGUAUGCCAGGUAGGCUGCUUCGACAGAUCCGAGGCAAAGCACCGGCCUACGGCUCCCCAGUUGGUGGGUUUUGAUCUCGCCAAGAUGCCUGCAAUCAGACGGAAGCUUAUUGUAGAGAAGCCCCCGUGAAGCUGAAAUUUCGGUUACAUGUUAAAAGAUCCCAGGCUAACCGAAAUUGACCCACAGUCAUCUGCUGGGACAUUGCAACACCCUUUGGUUUUGCACAAAACCCCCCCAAAAUUUACUCUGUACCUAUCAGUCGAAGACGACAUGGAAACAUAUAGCAAAGGGAUGCAUGGAUGGAUGAAUGGAUAUUGGGGACCUUGGUUGUGGCACAUGUUGCCAGUUGGGAUUGUGGUCAAUGCCGAGAAGCUAUGACACGGCUAUGUCAUUGGAGGUUGUCCAGAUUUUAUUGCCUGCCACAGGCCAUCCUGUGCAAGAGUUGAGUAAAGGUAUCCAGGGACAAAUAUUCUGGGCUUCUUUUCCCACAACUUUGACACAGAAUACCGAAUACAAACAAUUGCCUGCCCAACUUUCACUUCUGGGUGUGAAGCUCGGCCAAAACCUUUGUAAUUAAUGUCAGUCUCCAAAUCGUGGUGUACAAAUAUGGUUUUUGUGCAAAAUAUAGUAGAAACUAACUACCCCAAUGUCACCUUGAAAACGUAGCAAAAUUAACACCAGGAACAGAAAAUAGUGCAAGGGAUGGUGAAUAUUAACCAUGCUGAAUUAACCCGACGGCUAGAAAGGAAACAUCAAAACAUAGAAAUUUAUUUUGUUUCCCGACAGCCGGUUCGGUUUUUCUUAAUUUUUAUCCAUUUAAAAAAAAAGGGGGGGGGGAGGGGGGGGCUGGGGAAGGUUAUUAGGUGCAGGGUGUGCUUUUUGUAUCAGAAGUGUGUAGAAUGGAAGGGGAGAAUGAUCCUUUUUUUCCAGUUUGAACGAGGAUGGGUGUUGCCUUAGCCCGUCGUCCUGUAAGGUUCUUCCCAUUCUUACAUCGUGUGAUGGAGACUGGCAUUUGGGCUGUAUAGACUUCAUCCUUUCUUUGUGUUUGUGAUCAUAUGACCUUAAAGGCCGACGUACACUUCGCGCUUUCCAUUUUUGCCUGCCCCCUCCUUUCCUAUAUCCUCUCCACUUUUAAGCUUGCCCAACUUGGCUUUCCUCGCAGAUUAGGAGAGGGGAGCGCUAACAGGAUUAUCUUCCCUGCAGAAAACCGAGGUUGGUACGUCGGCCUUUAAAGGGGCGAUGCAACCAUUUUUGCACUUUGCGCAAAUACCGCUUAGAAUGGAUCCCUGACGUUAAUGACUUAUGAAACAAGCAUUCGUUUUUCACCCCACACAAUAGAAGCUCCAGAAAAAAUUAAAGAAAAACGAGCAGCGUUCACCCCCUCAACUCGCAGCCAGAACAAGCGACCACGUGAUAUGGAGCCGAUUAAAUGCCGCCAAUGUUGAUCACAGCCACGCGCUGGGGUUGGCGAAGCACAGGACAUGUGCCGAGUUCCUGACAUUGUUAGGGCUCGGAUAUUGUCGUCAUUGCAGCGAUUGGACACGGGCCACUACCCGAAUGCUUCUCGAGCUAGUAAUUUUCACGAGCCAAAAUCGAGUGCCCACGCAAUGCUGGGGUCCAAUCUAUGAACCGCAUUCAAAUAUCGUCAUUGGGGUGUACUGCCCCCACAUUACGUCAUCAAAUUUUGCAAAGGAGAGAUUGAAUGAAAAUGAUCGCUUUUGUCCUUGAAAUUACACGGCAGCAAAGGAGUUUCUUGGCCAGUGGCGUUGCGUGCGAGUAUCCUUGAGUCCUACUAGUGCCAGUAAGCUCGUGUAAAGUGAAAAAAAACAUCUGAAUUGAAUAUCGCUGCACUGUAUAAGGAGAUGAACUAAAUAAACGAGUUAGCACAGUUCGAGAUGUUGUCUUGUCUAUUUUCUGUCCCUUCUACAUUUUGAUGUUUCCUUCCUACCCCUGUCUCAGGAUAAUUACACAUGACCAAAAACAUAUGUAUCCAACACCCCUUGGGAAGUGCCAUUUUCAAGAGCAAACUACAGCUUAAACUUCGUCAACUACUCUUAAUCAGCAGUGUUGACAAGAGAUUGCGUCUUACGGGAACUGAUCAAACUAAAUUGCCUACAAUAAAUGCAUGUUUUUUGAGCCGGUUUCUUUUGUUAGUAUUUCAAGCAUUGAUCGUGUGGGUUUC